This 308-nucleotide long non-coding RNA is filed under the name Mytilus galloprovincialis (Mediterranean mussel). The record is from RNAcentral. Lineage: Eukaryota; Metazoa; Mollusca; Bivalvia; Mytilida; Mytilidae.
GAUAAAUUGUAAACAGCAAUAAUGUUCAGCAAAGUAAGAUCUACAAAUAAGUCAACAUGACCAAAAUGGUCAGUUGACCCCUUUAGGAGUUAUUGCCCUUUAUAGUCAAUCUUUAACCAUUUUUCAUAAAUCUAAGUAAUCUUUUACAAAAUCUCCACUGAAACUACUAGGCCACAAUCAUCUUUUGGGUAUCUAGUUUGAAAAAUGUGUCCGAUGACCUGGCCAUUCAACCAAGAUGGCCGCCACGGCUAAAAAUAGAACAUAGGGGUAAAAUGCAGUUUUUGGCUUAUAACUAUGAAUUCAAAGCA